Molecule: ribosomal RNA, 448 nt
Filed under: uncultured bacterium
Lineage: Bacteria
Description: partial 16S ribosomal RNA
Rfam family: Bacterial small subunit ribosomal RNA
Source: RNAcentral
GGCCAGACUCCUACGGGAGGCAGCAGUGGGGAAUAUUGCACAAUGGGGGGAACCCUGAUGCAGCGACGCCGCGUGGGUGAAGGAGUAUUUCGGUAUGUAAAGCCCUAUCAGCAGGGAAGAACAAUGACGGUACCUGACUAAGAAGCACCGGCUAAAUACGUGCCAGCAGCCGCGGUAAUACGUAUGGUGCAAGCGUUAUCCGGAUUUACUGGGUGUAAAGGGAGCGUAGACGGUGAAGCAAGUCUGAAGUGAAAGGCGGGGGCUCAACCCCCGGACUGCUUUGGAAACUGUUUGACUGGAGUGCAGGAGAGGUAAGUGGAAUUCCUAGUGUAGCGGUGAAAUGCGUAGAUAUUAGGAGGAACACCAGUGGCGAAGGCGGCUUACUGGACUGUAACUGACGUUGAGGCUCGAAAGCGUGGGGAGCAAACAGGAUUAGAUACCCCGGUAU